CCGAGUGCGCACCCCCUCAGGUGCAACCUCCCACCCGUGUCUCUGAAUACCCUGUUGCUUUGGCGGGCCCACCGGGAAACCGGUCGCCGGGGGACGUGCAGUCCCCGGGCCCGCGCCCGCCGGAGCGCCUGAAGAACCCUUAUGAAGAUGGACUGUCUGAGUGUCAUUGAUAAUAAUCA
Molecule: unclassified non-coding RNA, 179 nt
Filed under: uncultured Trichocomaceae
Lineage: Eukaryota; Fungi; Ascomycota; Eurotiomycetes; Eurotiales; Trichocomaceae
Description: sequence contains ITS1
Source: RNAcentral